Molecule: ribosomal RNA, 465 nt
Filed under: uncultured bacterium
Lineage: Bacteria
Description: partial 16S ribosomal RNA
Rfam family: Bacterial small subunit ribosomal RNA
Source: RNAcentral
CCUACGGGAGGCUGCAGUGGGGAAUCUUCCACAAUGGGCGAAAGCCUGAUGCAGCAACGCCGCGUGGGUGAAGAAGGUCUUCGGAUCGUAAAACCCUGUUGUUAGAGAAGAAAGUGCGUGAGAGUAACUGUUCACGUUUCGACGGUAUCUAACCAGAAAGCCACGGCUAACUACGUGCCAGCAGCCGCGGUAAUACGUAGGUGGCAAACGUUAGCCGGAUUGGUUGGGGGUAAAGGGAACGCAGGCGGUCCUUUAAGUCUGAUGUGAAAGCCUUGGGCUUAACCGGAGUAGUGCAUUGGAAACUGGGAGACUUGAGUGCAGAAGGGGAGGGUGGAACUCAAGGUGUAGCGGUGAAAUGCGUAGAUAUAUGGAAGAACACCAGUGGCGAAAGCGGCUCUCUGGUCUGUAACUGACGCUGAGGUUCGAAAGCGUGGGGAGCAAACAGGAUUAGAUACCCCAGUAGUC